Molecule: ribosomal RNA, 376 nt
Filed under: uncultured bacterium
Lineage: Bacteria
Description: bacterial SSU rRNA
Rfam family: Bacterial small subunit ribosomal RNA
Source: RNAcentral
UACAGAGGGUGCAAGCGUUGUUCGGAAUUAUUGGGCGUAAAGCGCGUGUAGGCGGCUUGGCAAGUCGGGUGUGAAAGCCCUCAGCUCAACUGAGGAAGUGCGCCCGAAACUGCUGAGCUCGAGUACCGGAGAGGGUGGCGGAAUUCCCCAAGUAGAGGUGAAAUUCGUAGAGAUGGGGAGGAACACCGGUGGCGAAGGCGGCCACCUGGACGGUCACUGACGCUGAGACGCGAAAGCGUGGGUAGCAAACAGGAUUAGAUACCCUGGUAGUCCACGCCGUAAACGAUGAGAACUAGGUGUCGUGGGAGUUGACCCCCGCGGUGCCGUAGCUAACGCAUUAAGUUCUCCGCCUGGGAAGUACGGUCGCAAGACUAAA